GAUGAACGCUGGCGGCGUGCCUAAUACAUGCAAGUCGAGCGAACGGACGAGAAGCUUGCUUCUCUGAUGUUAGCGGCGGACGGGUGAGUAACACGUGGAUAACCUACCUAUAAGACUGGGAUAACUUCGGGAAACCGGAGCUAAUACCGGAUAAUAUUUUGAACCGCAUGGUUCAAAAGUGAAAGACGGUCUUGCUGUCACUUAUAGAUGGAUCCGCGCUGCAUUAGCUAGUUGGUAAGGUAACGGCUUACCAAGGCAACGAUGCAUAGCCGACCUGAGAGGGCGAUCGGCCACACUGGAACUGAGACACGGUCCAGACUCCUACGGGAGGCAGCAGUAGGGAAUCUUCCGCAAUGGGCGAAAGCCUGACGGAGCAACGCCGCGUGAGUGAUGAAGGUCUUCGGAUCGUAAAACUCUGUUAUUAGGGAAGAACAUAUGUGUAAGUAACUGUGCACAUCUUGACGGUACUUAAUCAGAAAGCCACGGCUAACUACGUG
Molecule: ribosomal RNA, 497 nt
Filed under: uncultured bacterium
Lineage: Bacteria
Description: partial 16S ribosomal RNA
Rfam family: Bacterial small subunit ribosomal RNA
Source: RNAcentral